Molecule: long non-coding RNA, 1907 nt
Organism: Fukomys damarensis (Damara mole-rat)
Lineage: Eukaryota; Metazoa; Chordata; Mammalia; Rodentia; Bathyergidae
Source: Ensembl
CUACAACAUGCACAUUCUACUUAAUGUAGCUCAAGCAACAGGAGUACAAGAGAACAGUUACAGGUAGACACUUAUGUUCAUACAAACUAUGCGUUUAGAAAUCUUAUUAGGCAAGUAUCUACAGCAGUUCUUCAGUUGAUAUUGGAACAUUACACGCAUGCACAAAUGAUUUGUUAAGAGAAUGGCAUGGAGGAGGCAGCUGGAUGGCAGUCAGAAGGAGUAAGAGCUGGGAAGAAUUGUGUGUCAGGAAGGGCAGUUCUCAGCUUUCCACUGUAAGUCUCUGCUCUGUGAUAGAGGCCUUUUGGGUGACACUUUGGUUCUCAUGACUACGAAGUUUGGAUACAACAUCUAGAAUCUGAGCAUUCCAGUUGUAAAUAAAGCAAAAUGUUCUCAGCUGGGGUCACAGAGACAGUUUUAAAGUUUCUUAAAUAUGAAAUGCUUAAAGUUUCUUAAAUCUGAAAGAUCAUGCUGGUGUGAUGGGAGAGUCAAAAAGACUGCUCUCUGCCCUCAUACGACACAGUAAAUCAAAAGUUGGUUCCCUAUUAUAACUAUUGUAAAUAGUUCAGCAGCAUACCUGGACACAUAAGGAUGUAAUUAAAGCCACUGUACAGAGAGGUAACAUCAAGCAUCUAGUUACCAUGGUAACUAAUGAACAUGUAAUAAUGCCGAAUGAAGCCCCUGUUGCUUUGGCAUUAAUAACAGCUUUAGAAUUGGGCACAGCUCAGAAAGAUCUAGAAAGUGCUAAGCUUGUAUGGAUUUUACACAGACUUUUAGCAGGAUCUCUGUGCUCAUAAGAAAUAGCACCAAAAUUUUGAGAGGAUAAUGGCAUACAAAUGACUGGCUGUAAUUGGUGUUUCUACCCCACAAUGCAAUGAAGUCUAUUGUACCUGAGAUAAUGGAACUCUCUUGUGAAGUUGCAGCAUUGUUACCAAGCAACAAGAAAUAAAAUGUCAAGAUUAGCACUUUGUUUAAUAUAUUUUUAUCAUCAAUGAACUAUAUUUCUAUCGUGCUGUUCUUCUGGAUGAAUAUGGCCAAUAGGCUAAAAAUUACAUUUAGUAUCUACAAGAGGACACCAAAACAAAUGCAGAACUCAACAGGGACAAAGGUUGAAAAGAUGCUGCACUGUGGAGAGGAAGACACUGGCAAGAAUCUUCCAAAGAGAGACGCCAGCCCAGAUUCUGCUACCAAAAACCUUCAAUGUAUUCAUGGGCAUAAUUCUUACAACUCAAUCCCUGGGCAUGUGUAUCCCUUCUACAAACAUACAAGGGCUUACCGUGCUUCUACUACCUAAACAGCUGCUCUGUUGAAGUUCCCAAACUAGAAUGGCAUAUAGAUUUCAUCCUGAUUCUUCUAAUCCAUCCCUGCCCAAUAAACCUUCCUGCUAUGACAACAAUGUCCUGUCUCUAUGUUGAUCAACACAGUAGUCACUUGCUACAUGAAACUAGUGAGCCCUUGAACUGUGACUGAAUGUGCAUUGUAUUUAAUUUUAAUUAAUAUGAAUUUUAUAUAUUUCAUGUGGCUAGUGGCUGCCAUACUGGAUAGUACAGUCAACUGGGAAUGACAGUCCAUAGCACUGUAUUAAAAGAGGCCUAAUGUGGGUCGAAAUGUAGGUCUGGGCCCACCAUAAUAUUGUGACAGAUUAGAGUUUCUCUUUCAGGAUAGGGAAGGGCAGCCUGUAUUACAUUCACAGGCUUAAUGAAUUUUCUCUCCCUUUAUGCCAAAAGAGAGCCUCUCCUUCCUAAUACCUACAAUGUCUCCUAGGCACUAGAAAGUCAUUUUUUGUUCUUAAAAAUGGAAACAAAGUCUUCGUAAAUAGGGAGGGAUAGAGGGGUUGAAGGGAGGGCAGGGGAAUGAGGAAGAAAAUAAGAACCAAGAUAUAUCAUAUAAAGGUACAAAAUUCCCAGUGA